AGUGAACGCUGGCGGUAGGCCUAACACAUGCAAGUCGAACGGCAGCACAGUAAGAGCUUGCUCUUACGGGUGGCGAGUGGCGGACGGGGGAGGAAUACAUCGGAAUCUACUUUUUCGUGGGGGAUAACGUAGGGAAACUUACGCUAAUACCGCAUACGACCUACGGGUGAAAGCAGGGGAUCUUCGGACCUUGCGCGAUUGAAUGAGCCGAUGUCGGAUUAGCUAGUUGGCGGGGUAAAGGCCCACCAAGGCGACGAUCCGUAGCUGGUCUGAGAGGAUGAUCAGCCACACUGGAACUGAGCCACGGUCCAGACUCCUACGGGAGGCAGCAGUGGGGAAUAUUGGACAAUGGGCGCAAGCCUGGUCCAGCCAUACCGCGUGGGUGAAGAAGGCCUUCGGGUUGUAAAGCCCUUUUGUUGGGAAAGAAAAGCAGCAGGUUAAUACCCCGCUGUUCUGACGGUACCCAAAGAAUAAGCACCGGCUAACUUCGUG
This 492-nucleotide ribosomal RNA is filed under the name uncultured bacterium. Its description in RNAcentral is "partial 16S ribosomal RNA". It matches the Rfam family "Bacterial small subunit ribosomal RNA", at positions 29 to 507 of the family's 1533-position model. The record is from RNAcentral.